Molecule: ribosomal RNA, 482 nt
Filed under: uncultured bacterium
Lineage: Bacteria
Description: partial 16S ribosomal RNA
Rfam family: Bacterial small subunit ribosomal RNA
Source: RNAcentral
GAUGAACGCUAGCGGCAGGCCUAAUACAUGCAAGUCGAACGAGAUUAAGAGGCUUGCUUCUUAUGAAAGUGGCGCACGGGUGCGUAACGCGUAUGCAACCUACCUUAAUCAGGGGGAUAGCCCGAAGAAAUUCGGAUUAAGACCGCAUAAAAACACAGGAUAGCAUUAUCCAAUGUUCAAAUAUUUAUAGGAUUAAGAUGGGCAUGCGUGUCAUUAGCUAGUUGGCGGGGUAACGGCCCACCAAGGCGACGAUGACUAGGGGAUCUGAGAGGAUGACCCCCCACACUGGUACUGAGACACGGACCAGACUCCUACGGGAGGCAGCAGUAAGGAAUAUUGGUCAAUGGAGGGAACUCUGAACCAGCCAUGCCGCGUGCAGGAAGACAGCCCUCUGGGUCGUAAACUGCUUUUAUUCGGGAAUAAACCUUUCUACGUGUAGGAAGCUGAAUGUACCAAAGGAAUAAGGAUCGGCUAACUCCGUG